This is a long non-coding RNA of Acinonyx jubatus (cheetah), 2686 nucleotides long. RefSeq lists it as uncharacterized. NCBI's taxonomy places the organism in Eukaryota, Metazoa, Chordata, Mammalia, Carnivora, Felidae. The record is from RefSeq and is a predicted model, not a curated record. The transcript has 3 exons.
CCUGGGUGCUAAAGGAAGUCCUGAAGCUGAAGAGAACACAGGCGCACGCUCGCUCUUCCCGUCCCUCCCUCCAGGGAUGGACUCACAGUGACUACAGCCCGAGGCAAAGAGCAAGAUCCCAAGCCCGCAGAGCAGUGAGCAUCUUUUUUCAAGUAAUGUCCACACCCAACGUGGAGCUCAGACUCACAACCCCAAGAUCAAGAGUCGCAUGUUCCACCAACUGAAUCAGCCAGGCAUCCUCGAUGAGCAUCUUUAUGGCCAUACUUGGAACUCUUUAUCAGCAUCUUCACCAGGAGUAGAUUUCUCAAGAAACUGCUUUCUUUGCUCAUCCAGAAGAAAUAAGUCCUCAUCCCAUUCAAGUUUCAUCAUGAGACGACAGCAAUUCAGUCACGUCUUCAGGCUCCCUUUCUCAUUCUCCUGCUAUUUCCACCACAUCGGUAGUUUCUUCCUCCACUGACGUCUUAAACCCCUCAAGAUCAUCUAUGGUUAGAAUCUGCUUUUUCCAAACUCCUGUGAAGGUUGGUAUUUUGACUUCUUACAUUGAAUCAGAGAUAUCCUUAAUGGCAUCCAGAAUGGUAAAUCCUUUCCAGAAGGUUUUCAACCAACUAUGCCCAGCUCCAUCAAGGGAGCCACUAGCUGUGGUAGCUACAGCAUUACAAAAUAUGUUUCUUAAAUCAUUUUGGAAGUCAAAAUGACUCUUUGAUCCACAGGCUGAAGAAUAAUGUUGUUUUCAUGCCGGCUAACACAACAUCCAGUCUCAUUAUAUAUCUCCACCAGAGCCCUUGGGUGACCAGGUACAUUGUCAAUGUGCAGUAGUAUUUUAAAAGCAAUCUUUUGUGUGUGGGGGCUUAAAAUAUUCAGUUUAACGUGUAGUAAACAGAUGUGCUGUCAUCCAUAUUUUGUUGCAUUUACAGAUCACAAGCAGAGUAGAUUUCACAUAAUUCUUAAGGGCUCUAGGAUUUUUGGAAUGGGAAAUAAACAGUGUCUUUAACUUGAGGUCACCAGCUAUGUUAGGCCCUAACAAGAAACUCAGCCUCUGUUUUAAAGCUUUGAAGCCAGAAUUUGAACUCACCUCUCUUGCUAUCAAAGUCCUAGGGAGCAUCUUCCAGUAGAAGGCUGUUUUUGUGUACGUUGACUGUCUAUUUAGUGUAGACACCUUCGUGCAUUAUCUGAGCCAGAUCUUCAGAACAACUUGCUGCAGCUUCUACAUCAGCACUUGCUGCUUCAACUUACACUUUUAUGCUAGUUUCUUUCCUUAAACCUCAUGAACCAACCUGUGAUAGCUUCAAGUACUUUCUUGUACCUCCUCACUUCUGUCAGCCUUGACAGAACUGGAGACAGCCUUGCUCUGGUUUAGGCUUUGUUUUAAGGGAAUGUUAUGGCUUCUUUUACCUUCUAUCCAGACCAGUAAAACUUUCUCCAUAUCAACAAUGAGGCUUUUUUGCUUCCUUAUCAUUUCUGUGUUCACUUGAGUAGCACUUUAAAUUUCCUUCAAGAACUUUCUGUUUGUAUUCACAACUUGGCUAACUGGUUCAUGAGGCCUAGCUUGCAACACACCUUCCUCACCAAGCUUAAUCAUUUCUAGCUUUUGAAUGAAAGUGAGAGACCUGUGACUUAUCCUUUCCCUUGAGCACUUAGAGGCCAUUGUAAGGUUAUCAACUGGCCUCAUUUCAGUGUUUUUGUGUCUCAGAGAAUAAGUGGCCAAGUAGGGAGAGAGAGAUGAGGAAACAGCAGGUCAGUGGAGCAGUCAGAACAAAGACCUUUACCAAUUAAAUUCACCAUCUUACAUGGGCACGAUUCAUGGUGUCCCAACACAAAUAUAAUAGUAACAUCAAAGGCCACUAGUCACUGCAAGUUUGAAAUAUUGCACAAAUUACCAACACGUGACACAGACACAAACUAAGAAAUGCUUUUGGAAAAACGGUGCCAAUUAGACUUCCUUAGUGCAUGGUGGCCACAAACCUUCCACUUGUAGAAAAUGCAGUAUCAGCAAAUAAUACAAAAUGCAAUCAGAUGAAGCAUGCCCAUAGAUACAGUCCUGCAGGACUACAAGCCAAGUCCUGCUGACCACCAGAGUCAGGUCAUCUAGAGGUGCUCGUCUGUGGCACUUGUUAAAAAUCGGGACACCUGAGCAGUGUACAACUUCCUUUCUAGUAGAUACUGGUGACCUGGAGCAAGACAGAGGGUGAACACGAACAUAAGGUCCUCUGGCCCCUGUCCUUAGAGUGCACCUCAUUAGGUCCGUAGAUCUGUGCCAAACCAAAAGCCCUCCCUCCGGCCCCAGCUCCUAGACAAAUGAAUACGCCUCUUUCAUAGAACGACUGGGGGUGUAUUUCAGCCUACUGUCUCUGCAGUGCCCUGGGGGUGGUGGCUAACCAUCAGAGGUAGAAGGUCAAGGAGUGUCCCCUGGUGGCAGCCCAGAAGACCAGGACACCAGACACAGGUACGGUCUCCUCUCUAGGAGCCACUGGUGCUCUGGUGGGUGGUGGAAGGAACAUAAAAUUAGCACCUGCCCUCCAAGGAGGUCUCUGGCCUGUAGAGGUAGGUUUCAUUGGAAGCCUGCCCCUCCAGCCACAGCUAUGAAGAUAAGCUGAAAGGCUUAUUUCUCCGAAAGAUGAUUGCCUGUGUCUCUAACCUCUUCCUGGGCCCUGGGGCGUGGUAGAUGGUCGGGAACUCUUGUCAAUUG